Molecule: long non-coding RNA, 753 nt
Filed under: Cucumis sativus (cucumber)
Lineage: Eukaryota; Viridiplantae; Streptophyta; Magnoliopsida; Cucurbitales; Cucurbitaceae
Description: long non-coding RNA (CSAT_LNC001798)
Source: RNAcentral
UGAAACAACUUACUGCUUAGAAUUGAGGUAUUAAAGAGGAAGGCGUUCUCAUUUCACAGGUUAAAAGAAAAAUCGUCAAAAAACCUGUUCCACUAGGCCAAUUUUAUGUACACUUGUUUUCAUUGCAGAACUAUAUGUUAUGAUAUAUAUAUAUAUACAUAUGUCCUUUAUUGUAAUUUUACAUAGUCUCUAGGGUUUAGUUUAUUCUCUUUAUAAAUAUGUAACAUUGCUUUGACUCAAUGAGAAUAAGACAUACGUUUCUGAAUUCUAGAUUACACUAUAGAUACUGAAGAUCACUACGAUUAUGAUUAAAAAUACAAUAUACAGAGAUAUUCUCAAGGCCUGCUCAUGUACGAGUUCAGCUUUCACUUUGGUCCAAGGUAUGAAAUUUGAAAUGCAAAACUGAAAUGAAAGGGUACAGAUUUCACAUCGUUCCAACAAAUGAGAUCUCCUCAAUCUCAGGAGCUUAGGCUAUAUUUGGGAUUGCUUUUGAGUCUUAAAAAUGAUUAUAUAAAAAUCGUAACCACUGUAAGCGUUUGGUAAGAUUGAUUAUUAAUAAAUUGUAAGAAUCACUUUUUCAAUCACAUUCAUUCUCUGUUAUUAAAAUCUAUUCCCUAAUAGCUUUUGGAAGUUUUCAAAUCAAUUAGUUCAAUGCCACUGAUUUUUAUUUAAGAAUUUUUUAUACGCAUAAAAAAUGAUCUUCUAAAUAAAUAAUCUAAUAAAACAAACAAGAUAUAUACUUAUUCUGAAAGC